RNAcentral lists this ribosomal RNA (327 nucleotides) under uncultured eukaryote. RNAcentral describes it as "partial 18S ribosomal RNA". It matches the Rfam family "Eukaryotic small subunit ribosomal RNA", at positions 1470 to 1796 of the family's 1831-position model. The record is from RNAcentral.
CCCUUAGAUGUUCUGGGCCGCACGCGCGCUACACUGACGAAUGCAACGAGCUUAUAACCUUGGCCGAAAGGUCUGGGUAAUCUCCAAAUUUCGUCGUGAUGGGGGUAGAUUAUUGCAAUUAUUAAUCUUCAACGAGGAAUGCCUAGUAAGCGCAAGUCAUCAGCUUGCGUUGAUUACGUCCCUGCCCUUUGUACACACCGCCCGUCGCUCCUACCGAUUGAAUGGUCCGGUGAAGCGCUCGGACCGCGGCCUCUUGACGGUUUUCCGUCGAUUGGCUGUGGGAAGUUCGUUAAACCUUAUCAUUUAGAGGAAGGAGAAGUCGUAACA